This 116-nucleotide ribosomal RNA is filed under the name Candidatus Doudnaibacteriota bacterium. Lineage: Bacteria; Candidatus Doudnaibacteriota. The record is from RNAcentral.
GUGGGUGACAUUUCCGGUGUGGUACGACCCGAUCCCAUCCCGAACUCGGAAGUCAAACACGCCAGGGCCAAUGAUACUACCGCGCAUGCGGCAGGGAAAGUAGGUAGUUGCCCUUU